UUCUUCUUUAUGGAGUCCAAACAAUCACAGCAAUGUUUAGCAUCUCCAAAGACAUCUAUCCAUCACCAAGUAGAGGUCCAAGACCAGCCUUAGAUAGAGGAUCUGCAGUCUCCAGUUAAAGAAAGGCUCAUCAUCUCCAAAGACAUCUACCCAUCAACAAGUACAUUGUGUGUCCAAGACCAACCUCAGAAGUAGGAACUGCACUCUCCAGAAAAGGUGAAUUCCCUAACAGUGAACUAAAUAUUAAGACCUGUUUAGAAUA
Long non-coding RNA from Asterias rubens (European starfish), 262 nucleotides. RefSeq lists it as uncharacterized. NCBI's taxonomy places the organism in Eukaryota, Metazoa, Echinodermata, Asteroidea, Forcipulatida, Asteriidae. The record is from RefSeq and is a predicted model, not a curated record. The transcript is spliced from 3 exons.